AAUCUCAGUUCAGACUGCAGGCUGCAACUCGCCUGCACGAAGUCGGAAUUGCUAGUAAUCGCGAAUCAGAAUGUCGCGGUGAAUACGUUCCCGGGUCUUGUACACACCGCCCGUCACACCAUGGGAGUCGGGAAUGCCCGAAGUCAGUGACCCAACCUUUGGAGGGAGCUGCCGAAGGCAGGUCUGAUAACUGGGGUGAAGUCGUAACAAGGUAGC
This 216-nucleotide ribosomal RNA is filed under the name uncultured bacterium. RNAcentral's name for it is "partial 16S ribosomal RNA". It matches the Rfam family "Bacterial small subunit ribosomal RNA", at positions 1284 to 1500 of the family's 1533-position model. The record is from RNAcentral.